AUAGAAGGCUUAAACUCUUUUUCUAUCUUAAGAUGGCGAUCCUAAGGGAAACCUUAUUAUUAUUACUUCCUGAAACAAAACAUUGUAGUAAGGAAAGGAAAGGAAAUCAACUGAGACUCUGAAAGUAACGGCGAGUGAAAUCAGACUAGCCAAUUCAUCAACUAUCUAAAGCUAAUAGUAAUUAUACGUAGGCCGUGUAUUAUUCUCUUUAAUAAGGAGAAAAUAAGUAAUAUUAUAUUAAUGUUAUUACUUAACCAUAGAAGGUGAUAGUCCUGUUGUAGCUUUUAAACUUAAAAAUAGUUUAAAUUAUAAACAAUUUAAUUGUAAUAUUAUUAAGAAGAUAGUGAUUGAUUCAUAAGUACGAUGGAAGAUACUCUGUCGGAAUAUAAGGGGUACCAUCCUCUAAGGCUAAGUAUUAUAAAUUUAGCGAUAGUGAAUAAGUACUGUAAAGGAAAGUCAUGUUACGUUUCUGUGAACGUAUAAAAACAAGUAUGAAAUAGUAGCUCUAUAAGCAAUUAUAAUUUAACUUAAUAUGUUAAAUGAUAAUGUACCUUUUGCAUAAUGGGUCAGCAAGUUAAUAGGAGUAGCAAGGUUAAAAUCCCUAGCGAAAGCGACUGCUUCUAUAUCAAUAGUAUAUGAAUAGAACCGGGUUAAGUUACUACUAUUAGACCCGAAGUGAGGUGAUCUUGCCAUGAUCAGGUUAUAAUGGACCGAACGGGUGAAUGUUGCAAUAUUCUCCGAUGAAUUGUGGUAAGUAGGUGAAAGACUAAUCAUACCUCUAUAGCUGGUUUUCCACGAAAGAUAUUUAAGUAUCGCAUCAUUAUAUAAAUUUAGGAGGGUACAGCACGUUGAAUUUCAGACGAAAGUUAAAUUGGGGGGCCUUGAAAUCCUACCUUUGAAAAUUAACCUCGGAAUAUCCUAAAUUGUUGUAUGAUAGUCAGACUAUUCAUGAUAAGGUGGGUAGUCUAAACGUAAACAGACGUGAGCACGUGUUUAAGGUUCCCCAAAACCGUUUAAGUGAAAUUAAGGAAGUUUUCCCUUGGAUACAACUAUUAAGUUAGCCUGGUAGUCGCGAUCUUUUAAAGAGUGUGUAACAACUCAUUAGUCUAAGUUGGGGGAAAGCGCCUAAAAUUUAACGGGUCUUAAAACGGUUACCGAUACCGUGUUAUUUUAAUUAUCUUGUUUUUAAAUUAAUUAAAAUAGGUAGUGGAACAUUCAGAGCGGACGAAAAAUAGUGUUUCAUUAUUUGGACGCAACUGAAGAGAUAAUGCUGACAUGAGUAACGUAGAAAGAAGUUAUAAUACUUCUCGCCGAAUACGAAAGGGUUAUUAAGCAAGGUUAAACCGCUUAAUGUGAUAUCGGUCUCUAAGGUUUUAGACUAACGUUUAAACUGAUGAGUUUGUGUUCGAAUUUUUCUGUUGCUAAUAAUAGGGAGCGGAGCUAGCUGCUUCAGCAACUGAACUUGAAAAAUAGUUAACAAUCAGGAUCGACGCUCGAUUAUAAUUAAUGUAAACAUGUCUGCGAAAGUGGUAAUUGAUUAUUGUUAGUUAUUAGAGUUAUUAUAUAAAAUUCAUUAUAGUUAGUAUUAGCUAUAAUUCGAGGAGUGUAACAACGAUCAUACAUGGUUUACUUCAAAAGGCAAAAAGAGUUGACUAUGUAUACGAAUACCGUACCCUAAACCGACACUGGUUCGUAGGUAAAGAAUACUAAGGCGCAGAGAUAAUACUUGUAAAGGAACUCGGCAAACUUUCCUCAUAAGUUAGACGACAUGAGGAGCCGUCUAAAUGACGGUGGCACAGAAUCGGAACCCCCGACUGUUUACUUAAAACACAGAUAUCUGCGAUGAUUAAAUUAUUUGUAUAGAUGUCGAAUUUUGCCCAAUGCCAUUAAUAUAAAGAAGGUGAGUUAUUUUACCGACUGAAAAUCUGGUCAAUGGCGGUCUUAACUAUAAGGAUCCAAAGGUAGCAAAAUUCAUUGUCCGCUAAAUACGGUCCUGCAUGAAUAAAGUAACGAUGGGUUCACUGUCUCUACAAGUAUCUCAGUGAAAUUGAAUUAGCCGUGCAGAUGCGGUUUGCUUAUGGUUAGACGGGAAGACCCUAUGCAACUUUACUGUAAGUUGUUAUCAUGUUUUUUUAAUAUAGGUGUAGCAAUAUAAGGUAGUCGACUGGACAUAAGUGAAAGACCUUAACUUUCAUUAAUUAAACAUUAACCUCGAGGACGAAGAUAGACUGGGCACACUCCCAGUUCGCUUUAUUAAAUAGUCUUAGAUUGUUAUAAGUAUAAUAUUGAAUAUUGCAGACAAUGGCGUUAGUAGGGAGAUAUAUGACAACUUGGCAGUUUGUCUGGGGCGGACGUCUUUAAUAGAGUAUCAAAGACACCCAAAAUUUAAUUAUAUUUUUAUAUUUAUAUAUCCUUGAUUAAAUGUGAAGGAUUUCAUUAAAUAUAAGGUAUUUUUAUUAUGUAAAGUUAACAUUUUUAAAGGUUUGCUAAUAUCGAAUGGAGAUCGAUUGACCAUGUAGGGUUAAUAAGGUGUAAUGGCUAAAGCAAGCUUAACUGAGUGACCGAUAAGUCAAACAGGUACGUAAGUAGGGCAUAGUGACCCGGCGAUAUAUUAUGGAAUAGUCGUCGAUAAAUAGAUAAAAGUUACGCUAGGGAUAACAGGUUAGUCGCGGUUGAGAGUUCACAUGGACACCGCGGUUCGACACCUCGAUGUCGACUCAUCCUAUCCUCCGGGUGUAGGUGCUUGGAAGGGUUCGGCUGUUCGCCGAUUAAAAGGGUACGUGAGUUGGGUUCAAUACGACGUGAGUCAGUAUGGAUCCUAUCUUCCAUAAGGAGAAAAAGUCAAAGGGGAAGGGCCUCUCAGUACGAAAGGAUCAGAUGGCUGUGUUUCUAUAGUGUACCAAUUGUUGGAUCGCUAUUAGUUUAAAGGAUAGGUAGUGUAUUAUUAAUCGAGGGCAUAAUCCUUUAUAAUGGAGUAAUACCUUAUAUAGGUGUAAUGAUAAAUAACGUAGUAUUAAAUAGAAUGUUAACAAUCUAGCAUGUUCCUUAUAUAAUACGUUAGGAAAUUAUUAUAUGUUACAAGAAAUUUUUACAAAAUAGUCGGUCUGGCAUCGUUGGGUAGCCACAAACAUAACGGAUAAGAGCUGAAAGCAUAUUAAGCACGAAACCGUUCCCUAGAGACUAAAAAAUGUUUUUUUAUUUAGCUGAUAAGUUACAUAUUUAUUUAUUU
Molecule: ribosomal RNA, 3229 nt
Filed under: Craterellus lutescens
Lineage: Eukaryota; Fungi; Basidiomycota; Agaricomycetes; Cantharellales; Hydnaceae
Description: LSU rRNA
Rfam family: Bacterial large subunit ribosomal RNA
Source: RNAcentral